Molecule: ribosomal RNA, 484 nt
Filed under: uncultured bacterium
Lineage: Bacteria
Description: partial 16S ribosomal RNA
Rfam family: Bacterial small subunit ribosomal RNA
Source: RNAcentral
AUUGAACGCUGGCAGCAGGCCUAACACACGCAAGUCGAGCGGAUGAAGGGAGCUUGCUCCUGGAUUCAGCGGCGGACGGGUGAGUAAUGCCUAGGAAUCUGCCUGGUAGUGGGGGAUAACGUCCGGAAACGGGCGCUAAUACCGCAUACGUCCUGAGGGAGAAAGUGGGGGAUCUUCGGACCUCACGCUAUCAGAUGAGCCUAGGUCGGAUUAGCUAGUUGGUGGGGUAAAGGCCUACCAAGGCGACGAUCCGUAACUGGUCUGAGAGGAUGAUCAGUCACACUGGAACUGAGACACGGUCCAGACUCCUACGGGAGGCAGCAGUGGGGAAUAUUGGACAAUGGGCGAAAGCCUGAUCCAGCCAUGCCGCGUGUGUGAAGAAGGUCUUCGGAUUGUAAAGCACUUUAAGUUGGGAGGAAGGGCAGUAAGUUAAUACCUUGCUGUUUUGACGUUACCAACAGAAUAAGCACCGGCUAACUUCGUG